RNAcentral lists this ribosomal RNA (458 nucleotides) under uncultured bacterium. Its description in RNAcentral is "partial 16S ribosomal RNA". It matches the Rfam family "Bacterial small subunit ribosomal RNA", at positions 338 to 795 of the family's 1533-position model. The record is from RNAcentral.
CCUACGGGUGGCAGCAGUGGGGAAUAUUGCACAAUGGGGGAAACCCUGAUGCAGCGACGCAGCGUGAGGGAAGAAGUAUUUCGGUAUGUAAAGCUCUAUCAGCAGGGAAGAAAUAGCGACCUUUGGGUCGCCAGACGGUACCUGAUUAAGAAGCCCCGGCUAACUACGUGCCAGCAGCCGCGGUAAUACGUAGGGGGCAAGCGUGAUCCGGAUUUAAUGGGUUUAAAGGGAGCGUAGAUGGCAGCGCAAGUCUGAUGUGAAAUGCCGGGGCUUAACCCCGGAACUGCUUUGGAAACUGUGCAGCUAGAGUGCAGGAGAGGUAAGUGGAAUUCCUAGUGUAGCGGUGAAAUGCGUAGAUAUUAGGAGGAACACCAGUGGCGAAGGCGGCUUACUGGACUGUAACUGACGUUGAGGCUCGAAAGCGUGGGGAGCAAACAGGAUUAGAUACCCCUGUAGUC